UACGAAGGGGGCUAGCGUUGCUCGGAAUCACUGGGCGUAAAGGGCGCGUAGGCGGACUCUUAAGUCGGGCGUGAAAGCCCAGGGCUCAACCCUGGAAUUGCCUUCGAUACUGAGAGUCUUGAGUUCGGAAGAGGUUGGUGGAACUGCGAGUGUAGAGGUGAAAUUCGUAGAUAUUCGCAAGAACACCAGUGGCGAAGGCGGCCAACUGGUCCGAUACUGACGCUGAGGCGCGAAAGCGUGGGGAGCAAACAGG
RNAcentral lists this ribosomal RNA (253 nucleotides) under uncultured bacterium. Its description in RNAcentral is "partial 16S ribosomal RNA". It matches the Rfam family "Bacterial small subunit ribosomal RNA", at positions 524 to 776 of the family's 1533-position model. The record is from RNAcentral.